Strongylocentrotus purpuratus (purple sea urchin) is the source of this 1737-nucleotide long non-coding RNA. RefSeq lists it as uncharacterized. The transcript is spliced from 2 exons. The record is from RefSeq and is a predicted model, not a curated record. Lineage: Eukaryota; Metazoa; Echinodermata; Echinoidea; Camarodonta; Strongylocentrotidae.
CAUUCAUUUCGUUGCCGUAGGAGAGUCAAAACGAGUUUGAUAUUUGUGCGAGUUGGAUUGAAGAGUGACAUUAUAUGCAACAUGUCUGAUAGACCAACGCCUGGACCCACACCAAAUGAACCAAAACGGCAUAACUAUUGUCGCAACUGUGGCGAACCAAUUCCUUGGGAUGCGACCACAUGUAGUUGGAUAUGCUAUUUUUGGAACCUUUUUUCAUGUUAAAAAGAAGAGGACGGCGAGAUACAACGAUUUACAUCCAACGUUAUUUGAAAGUGCCACAAAGAUGACUUAUCAAACUCAAUUUGAAGCCUGGAUCCUAUUAUAACCACUCAAGAUUAUACACGCCCCAUCGCAGCCACACCUAACGACGGACACUUCCACAUGUUCCUUAUUCCCUAUGCAAGAACUGUUGGCGUUCACAAGACGUUCUUCACAUACACCAUCAGAACGUGGAAUGCAUUUCCCCAAGUUCUUGCAAUUAUACUUUUAGGCUUCCCUUUCUAUCGCAAUUCCAUUGCUAUACGGGAUGUGUCGGGAUACACAUCACUACAUUGAUCUUGAAUCAUAAAUGCUAAAGAUUUAAACGUCAUCAGCAAUGAAAUUUAACUAUUCCUGCAAUGAAUACAUGUUAGACCAUGAACAUCGCACGACGGCCUCCGAUGUGCGUAGAAUGGUAUCCUGAGCUACCCUCCCCGUCUCACGGGAGUUUCGGCGCAAGGCAUGGCUAAGGCUUGGUCGGAUUGCAUCAAUAAAGGCAUGGCCGGGAUGCCUUCUGCAACGUGUUUCCUCGCCUGCUCUACUGGCCUGGGAGGUUAGACGCCGCUCUGAUGAGAGGACUGCUCGCAGUCAGGGAUAUUCAGUAGUCGUAUGGUCCAUAUAUGCCUUAUUGUACGGAACCAAAUGGGAUCAAAGAAUACUAUUUUACAAAUGACACAUUUCUAUUCUUUUUUCUGAUCGUUUAAUCAAUUAAUUUUGCUACUUUAAUGAGAUCUGGACAUUUAUCCGUUGAAAUUGUUCAAUUUAUUAAAGGAACUAAUGGGUAUACAAUGAAGUAUUAUGAUUUGUUUAAGAAAUGUAGUCCUUAUUCUAACACGGCCGUGUGGUUUACUAGAGUUGAGUGAUUUUGUAAUGUUAAUUAUUUUUGUUUAGUUUGUUGGGUCAACGAACACAGAUUUAUCAUAUAAAGAUCCUGGAAGAAAAUUUGUUUAAUCAAUAUUUGUAGUAUCAUUUUUUCUGCUAUAUUUGUAUUGAACGAUGCAUACAAAUCAUUUGAAUUGGGUUGCUCUCUACCAUUUAGCGUCAAAUUAACUCUGGGUUGAGAUUGAGUUUUCUUUCCCAUUGCCUCAUUGACAAAAAACACCAUGUUGUUCUCACAUUGGAACUAACUUUACAUAAUUGUUCAGAUUAAUACAACUUUCGAGAACAUCAAAUCAUACUUGUCAAUCCAUUACGAUAUUUGUUGUAAUUUGUGAUGUUUAAGUUUGUUGGGUUUUACAUAUAUAAUUUGUAAAAGCAGUUUCUUGUUUCGAUUUGUUUCAUAAUACCUUUCGUGAUCCAGGUGUUUCUUAAAAUAUAGAACAUAAUUGUCCAGUGAUAAGAGGAAUACCUUUAUCAUAAUGACAUUGUAAUUAACAAUUGAAUUUUUUAGGAGCAUUAUUCACAUUAUCACCAUUCAAAACAUCUGUCAAGUAAAUCCUAGUCAAAUGAUUCAAUGUAACUAGGACUUUCCUUUCUAUA